RNAcentral lists this ribosomal RNA (468 nucleotides) under uncultured bacterium. RNAcentral describes it as "partial 16S ribosomal RNA". It matches the Rfam family "Bacterial small subunit ribosomal RNA", at positions 28 to 507 of the family's 1533-position model. The record is from RNAcentral.
GACGAACGCUGGCGGCGUGCUUAACACAUGCAAGUCGAACGGAAAGGCCCUGCUUUUGUGGGGUGCUCGAGUGGCGAACGGGUGAGUAACACGUGAGUAACCUGCUCUUGACUUUGGGAUAACUUCAGGAAACUGGGGCUAAUAUCGGAUAGGAUCUCCUGCUGCAUGGUGGGGGUUGGAUAGUUUCGGCUGUUGGGGCUGGACUCGCGGCUUAUCAGCUUGUUGGUGGGGGAGUGGCUUACCAAGGCUUUGACGGGUAGCCGGCCUGAGAGGGUGAACGGCGACAUUGGGACUGAGAUACGGCCCAGAGUGCUACGGGAGGCAGCAGUGGGGAAUAUUGCACAGUGGGAGGAAGCCUGAGGCAGCAACGCCGCGUGCGGGAUGACGGCCUUCUGGUUGUAAAACGCUUUAGCCUGUGACGAAGCGUGAGUGACGGUAAUGGGUAAAGAAGCACCGGCUAACUACGUG